GCAAGUCGAGCGGAAACGACACUAACAAUCCUUCGGGUGCGUUAAUGGGCGUCGAGCGGCGGACGGGUGAGUAAUGCCUAGGAAAUUGCCUUGAUGUGGGGGAUAACCAUUGGAAACGAUGGCUAAUACCGCAUAAUGCCUACGGGCCAAAGAGGGGGAUCUUCGGACCUCUCGCGUCAAGAUAUGCCUAGGUGGGAUUAGCUAGUUGGUGAGGUAAUGGCUCACCAAGGCGACGAUCCCUAGCUGGUCUGAGAGGAUGAUCAGCCACACUGGAACUGAGACACGGUCCAGACUCCUACGGGAGGCAGCAGUGGGGAAUAUUGCACAAUGGGCGAAAGCCUGAUGCAGCCAUGCCGCGUGUAUGAA
Molecule: ribosomal RNA, 366 nt
Filed under: uncultured Vibrio sp.
Lineage: Bacteria; Pseudomonadati; Pseudomonadota; Gammaproteobacteria; Vibrionales; Vibrionaceae
Description: bacterial SSU rRNA
Rfam family: Bacterial small subunit ribosomal RNA
Source: RNAcentral